UACGGGGUGCAGCAGGCGCGCAAACUUUACAAUGCGAGCAAUCGUGAUAAGGAAACCCUGAGUGCCUGUCGAUGCAGGCUGUUCAUAUAUCUAAAUCAUAUGUGAAGAAAGGGCAGGGCAAGACCGGUGCCAGCCGCCGCGGUAAUACCGGCUGCUCGAGUGAUGGCCACUAUUACUGGGUUUAAAGCGUCCGUAGCUUGACUGUUAGGUCUCUUGGGAAAUCUUCACGCUCAACGUGAAGGCGUCUAAGAGAUACCGGCAGUCUUGGAACUGGGAGAGGUAAACCGUACUUCGGGGGUAGGAGUGAAAUCUUGUAAUCCUCGAGGGACGACCUAUGGCGAAGGCAGUUUACCAGAACAGCUUCGACAGUGAGGGACGAAAGCUGGGGGAGCAAACGGGAUUAGAUACCCCGGUAGUCCCAGCCGUAAACAAUGUGCGUUAGGUGUGUCGGUAACCACGUGUUACUGAUGCGCCGAAGAGAAAUCGUGAAACGCACCACCUGGGAAGUACGGUCGCAAGGCUGAAACUUAAAGGAAUUGGCGGGGGAGCACCACAACAGGUGGAGCCUGCGGUUUAAUUGGAUUCGACGCCGGACAUCUCACCGGAUAAGACAGCUGAAUGAUUGUCAAUCUGAAGGUUUUACAUGACUAGCUGAGAGGAGGUGCAUGG
RNAcentral lists this ribosomal RNA (669 nucleotides) under uncultured archaeon. Its description in RNAcentral is "bacterial SSU rRNA". It matches the Rfam family "Archaeal small subunit ribosomal RNA", at positions 324 to 997 of the family's 1478-position model. The record is from RNAcentral.